Molecule: unclassified non-coding RNA, 145 nt
Filed under: Butyrivibrio sp. INlla16
Lineage: Bacteria; Bacillati; Bacillota; Clostridia; Lachnospirales; Lachnospiraceae
Description: Clostridiales-1 RNA
Source: RNAcentral
CGGCGAAAAGGAAUUUUACGAGCUGCGUCAUGCGACGUAGCUCGUUAUUUGUUGCACAAGACCGGCAAGCGAAUGGAUGCUUGCAUACAAAUUCAUUUGCCGGUUGUAAGAACAUGGAGCACGAAGUGCGGAAUGUUCGUGUGCG